RNAcentral lists this ribosomal RNA (481 nucleotides) under uncultured bacterium. Its description in RNAcentral is "bacterial SSU rRNA". It matches the Rfam family "Bacterial small subunit ribosomal RNA", at positions 31 to 507 of the family's 1533-position model. The record is from RNAcentral.
GAACGCUGGCGGCAUGCUUACACAUGCAAGGUCGAACGGCAGCACGGGAGCAAUCCUGGUGGCGAGUGGCGAACGGGUGAGUAAUAUAUCGGAACGUGCCCAGCCGUGGGGGAUAACGUAGCGAAAGCUACGCUAAUACCGCAUACGAUCUAUGGAUGAAAGCGGGGGAUCGCAAGACCUCGCGCGAUUGGAGCGGCCGAUAUCAGAUUAGGUAGUUGGUGAGGUAAAGGCUCACCAAGCCGACGAUCUGUAGCUGGUCUGAGAGGACGACCAGCCACACUGGGACUGAGACACGGCCCAGACUCCUACGGGAGGCAGCAGUGGGGAAUUUUGGACAAUGGGCGCAAGCCUGAUCCAGCAAUGCCGCGUGCAGGAUGAAGGCCUUCGGGUUGUAAACUGCUUUUGUACGGAACGAAACGGUGAGCUCUAAUACAGUUUGCUAAUGACGGUACCGUAAGAAUAAGCACCGGCUAACUACGUG